GAUGAAGAACGUAGCGAAAUGCGAUAAGUAAUGUGAAUUGCAGAAUUCAGUGAAUCAUCGAAUCUUUGAACGCACAUUGUGCCCCUUGGUAUUCCGAGGGGCAUGCCCGUUCGAGCGUCAUUAUACCCCUCAAGCCUAGCUUGGUGUUGGGGCCUGCUGUUACCGGCAGCCCUUAAAAUCAGUGGCGGUGCCAUCUGGCUCUAAGCGUAGUAAUACUUCUCGCUACAGGGUCCCGGUGGAUGCUUGCCAUCAACCCCUAAUUUUCUAUGGUUGACCUCGGAUCGGGUAGGGAUACCCGCUGAACUUAAGCAUAUCAAUAAGCGGAGGA
This 328-nucleotide unclassified non-coding RNA is filed under the name soil metagenome. RNAcentral describes it as "partial contains 5.8S ribosomal RNA, internal transcribed spacer 2, and large subunit ribosomal RNA". The stretch from base 1 to 120 matches the Rfam family "5.8S ribosomal RNA", at positions 35 to 154 of the family's 154-position model. The record is from RNAcentral.